GCAUCAUUAUAUGGCUUUGUCAUAGUUGAUGACUAUUCUCGUUACACAUGGGUGCAUAUCAUCACUUACAAAAAUGAAGUGCACGAAGUCUUCAGACGAUUUUCCUCAAGGGCUUCCACUAACUUCGGUGUGAAGAUCAAGCAUAUCAGGAGUGAUAAUGGAACCGAGUUCAAGAACACUGGCCUCGAUGAAUAUCUUGAUAUGCUUGGUAUUACUUACGAAUUAUCUGCUCCUUAUACUCCUCAGCAGAAUGGCGUCAUGGAGCGCAAGAACAAAACUCUUGUUGAGAUGGCUCGCACCAUGCUUGAUGAAUACAAGACACCUCAGUGCUUCUGGCCUGAAGCAAUUGAUAUUGCGUACCACAUCAUCAACAUGGUAUAUCUUCACAAAUUCUUCAAAAAGACCUCAUAUGAACUCCUCACUGAUAAGAAACCCAAUGUAAGUUAUUUCAAAGUCUUCGGUGCUAAAUGUUGGAUUAGAGAUCCUCACCAUCACUCUAAAUUUGCACCGAAAGCACAUGAG
RNAcentral lists this ribosomal RNA (522 nucleotides) under Triticum aestivum (bread wheat). RNAcentral's name for it is "partial small subunit ribosomal RNA". Lineage: Eukaryota; Viridiplantae; Streptophyta; Magnoliopsida; Poales; Poaceae. The record is from RNAcentral.